RNAcentral lists this transfer RNA (67 nucleotides) under Polycentropus flavomaculatus. Its description in RNAcentral is "tRNA-Thr". Lineage: Eukaryota; Metazoa; Arthropoda; Insecta; Trichoptera; Polycentropodidae. The record is from RNAcentral.
GUUUUGAUAAUUUAUAAUAAAAUAUUAAUUUUGUAAAUUAAAAUAAAGUUUAAUUUCUUUCAAAACU